CCUGGGUGGCUCAGUCGGUUGAGCGUCUGACUUCGGCUCAGGUCAUGAUCUCACAGUUCGUGGGUUCAAGCCCCGCCAUCAGGC
This 84-nucleotide transfer RNA is filed under the name Felis catus (domestic cat). It matches the Rfam family "tRNA". Rfam says of the family: Transfer RNA (tRNA) molecules are approximately 80 nucleotides in length. Their secondary structure includes four short double-helical elements and three loops (D, anti-codon, and T loops). Further hydrogen bonds mediate the characteristic L-shaped molecular structure. tRNAs have two regions of fundamental functional importance: the anti-codon, which is responsible for specific mRNA codon recognition, and the 3' end, to which the tRNAs corresponding amino acid is attached (by aminoacyl-tRNA synthetases). tRNAs cope with the degeneracy of the genetic code in two manners: having more than one tRNA (with a specific anti-codon) for a particular amino acid; and 'wobble' base-pairing, i.e. permitting non-standard base-pairing at the 3rd anti-codon position. RNAcentral also lists the same sequence under 1 other name. The record is from Rfam by way of RNAcentral. Lineage: Eukaryota; Metazoa; Chordata; Mammalia; Carnivora; Felidae.